This 440-nucleotide ribosomal RNA is filed under the name uncultured bacterium. RNAcentral describes it as "partial 16S ribosomal RNA". It matches the Rfam family "Bacterial small subunit ribosomal RNA", at positions 338 to 795 of the family's 1533-position model. The record is from RNAcentral.
CCUACGGGUGGCAGCAGUGGGGAAUAUUGCACAAUGGGGGAAACCCUGAUGCAGCGACGCCGCGUGAGUGAAGAAGUAUCUCGGUACGUAAAGCUCUAUCAGCAGGGAAGAAAAUGACGGUACCUGACUAAGAAGCCCCGGCUAACUACGUGCCAGCAGCCGCGGUAAUACGGAGGGGGCAAGCGUUAUCCGGAUUUACUGGGUGUAAAGGGAGCGUAGACGGCAGGACAAGUCUGGAGUGAAAUUCCGGGGCUUAACCCCGGAACUGCUUUGGAAACUGUGAGGCUGGAGUGCAGGAGGGGUAAGCGGAAUUCGUGGUGUAGCGGUGAAAUGCGUAGAUAUUAGGAGGAACACCGGUGGCGAAGGCGGCUUACUGGACUGUAACUGACGUUGAGGCUCGAAAGCGUGGGGAGCAAACAGGAUUAGAUACCCGGGUAGUC